CCUGACCUCGGAUCAGUCGUGACUACCCGCUGAACUUAAGCAUAUCAAUAAGCGGAGGA
RNAcentral lists this ribosomal RNA (59 nucleotides) under Amphoteromorphus piraeeba. RNAcentral's name for it is "partial 28S ribosomal RNA". It matches the Rfam family "Eukaryotic large subunit ribosomal RNA", at positions 1 to 57 of the family's 3401-position model. Lineage: Eukaryota; Metazoa; Platyhelminthes; Cestoda; Proteocephalidea; Monticelliidae. RNAcentral also lists the same sequence under 3 other names. The record is from RNAcentral.